This 468-nucleotide ribosomal RNA is filed under the name uncultured bacterium. RNAcentral describes it as "partial 16S ribosomal RNA". It matches the Rfam family "Bacterial small subunit ribosomal RNA", at positions 28 to 507 of the family's 1533-position model. The record is from RNAcentral.
GACGAACGCUGGCGGCGUGCUUAACACAUGCAAGUCGAACGGAAAGGCCCUGCUUUUGUGGGGUGCUCGAGUGGCGAACGGGUGAGUAACACGUGAGUAACCUGCCCUUGACUUUGGGAUAACUUCAGGAAACUGGGGCUAAUACCGGAUAGGAGCUCCUGCUGCAUGGUGGGGGUUGGAAAGUUUCGGCGGUUGGGGAUGGACUCGCAGCUUAUCAGCUUGUUGGUGGGGUAGUUGCUUACCAAGGCUUUGACGGGUAGCCGGCCUGAGAGGGUGACCGGCCACAAUGGGACUGAGAUACGGACCAGACUGCUACGGGAGGCAGCAGUGGGGAAUAUUGCACAAUGGGCGGAAGCCUGAGGCAGCAACGUCGCGUGCGGGAUGACGGCCUUCGGGUUGUAAACCGCUUUCGCCUGUGACGAAGCGUGAGUGACGGUAAUGGGUAAAGAAGCACCGGCUAACUACGUG